Arachis ipaensis is the source of this 443-nucleotide non-coding RNA. NCBI's taxonomy places the organism in Eukaryota, Viridiplantae, Streptophyta, Magnoliopsida, Fabales, Fabaceae. The record is from RefSeq and is a predicted model, not a curated record.
GUGAAAUUAUUCGCCAUCUUCCCUACAGUAAAAUUAUUCGCCAUCUUCCCUAUUUGCACAAAUUUCACAAAGAUUGUAUUGAUCCUUGGCUCCAUAGGAAAACAUCAUGCCCGGUGUGCAAGUCAUCUAUCACCUAAUUUACUGCUGGUUUCAGAUGGAUAAUUUCUUAUUCUACUACAGAAUGUUGGCUGUCCCAUUUUGGUCUGAGGUCCUAAUGAAGUCUGCCAAACCAGUGGCAAGUCUGAAGGCCGCAGUUUUUUCCCCAUGACAGAUUAGUUACAAAUAUACCUGGUUGAUGGGGCUACACAGGAGUGUUGAAAUGGUGACCACAUGCUACUUUGAGAGCUCAAGAAUAUUUUGAUUCAUAGUGACACUAAUCUAUGUUACAACUUUUAAUUUUUGGUUGAACUUUUAUGUUAGAACUUUUAUGUUUUGGUUGAACU